RNAcentral lists this ribosomal RNA (520 nucleotides) under uncultured Thermoprotei archaeon. RNAcentral describes it as "bacterial SSU rRNA". It matches the Rfam family "Archaeal small subunit ribosomal RNA", at positions 359 to 879 of the family's 1478-position model. The record is from RNAcentral. Lineage: Archaea; Thermoproteati; Thermoproteota; Thermoprotei.
AUGAGUUACGUGCGAGGGGCUACCUCGAGUGCCACCUGAUGAAGGUGGCUUUUCCUAGGUCUAAAAAGCCUUGGGAAUAAGAGGGGGGCAAGACUGGUGUCAGCCGCCGCGGUAACACCAGCCCCUCGAGUGGUGGGGAUGAUUAUUGGGCCUAAAGCGUCCGUAGCCUGCCGUAUAAGUUUCCCGUUAAAUCCAGCGUCUCAAGCGUUGGACUGCGGGAAAUACUGUACGGCUAGAGAGUGGGAGAGGUCAGCGGUAUUCUGGGGGUAGGGGCGAAAUCCUUUGAUCCCCGGAGGACCACCAGUGGCGAAGGCUGCUGACUAGAACACGUCUGACGGUCAGGGACGAAAGCUGGGGUAGCGAACCGGAUUAGAUACCCGGGUAGUCCCAGCCGUAAACGAUGCAUGCUAGGUGUUGGGUUGGCCACGAGCCACCCCAGUGCCGCAGGGAAGCCGUUAAGCAUGCCGCCUGGGAAGUACGAUCGCAAGGUUGAAACUUAAAGGAAUUGGCGGGGGAGCAC